Molecule: long non-coding RNA, 351 nt
Organism: Pezoporus flaviventris
Lineage: Eukaryota; Metazoa; Chordata; Aves; Psittaciformes; Psittacidae
Exons: 3
Source: RefSeq, a predicted model, not a curated record
CAGUCUGUCUUCAUAGGAGAGGUGCUCCAGCCCUCUGAUCAUCUUUAUGGCCCUCCUCUGGACUUGUUCAAGCAGAUCCGUGUCCUUCUUGUGCUGGGGGCCUCAGACCUGGAUGGAGUACUGCAGGUUUGGCUGCUACCAGUUAUUUCACCUUUUAUCAACUACAAGCAGCAUGAACCUAACAAUGAAGAAUGAUGCAAAUAUAAUGAUCCUAUUGAUUGAAGCAGAGAUUUGUACUUUGAGAGAAAUUGAAUUCACCUACUGAAACAGAAGCUCCUUAGGUCUAGAAGUCCACAGCUGAUACUGGAAGGAAAGGUGACCUAGCAUAGGCAAAGUUUUACAGGAAUCAAA